RNAcentral lists this unclassified non-coding RNA (396 nucleotides) under soil metagenome. Its description in RNAcentral is "partial contains 5.8S ribosomal RNA, internal transcribed spacer 2, and large subunit ribosomal RNA". The stretch from base 1 to 122 matches the Rfam family "5.8S ribosomal RNA", at positions 35 to 154 of the family's 154-position model. The record is from RNAcentral.
GAUGAAGAACGUAGCGAAAUGCGAUACUUGGUGUGAAUUGCAGAAUCCCGUGAACCAUCGAGUCUUUGAACGCAAGUUGCGCCCGAAGCCAUUUGGUUGAGGGCACGUCUGCCUGGGCGGCACAUAUCGUUGCCCGAUGCCUAUUGCACUGUGAUAGGAAAUUCUAGGGCGAAAGAUGGCUUCCCGUGAGCGUUGUUGCCUCGCGGUUGGUUGAAAAUCGAGUCCUUGGUAGGGUGUGCCAUGAUAGAUGGUGGUCGAGUUUGCACGAGACCGAUCAUGUGUGCGCUCCCCAAAAUAUGGACUCUUUGACCCCACACGCGUCUUUUGACGCUAAUGACGAGACCUCAGGUCAGGCGGGGCUACCCGCUGAGUUUAAGCAUAUCAAUAAGCGGAGGA